GAGAGUAUAGCUCAGUGGUAGAGUGCGUGCUUAGCAUGCACGAGGUCCUGGGUUCAAUCCCCAGUACCUCCA
Molecule: transfer RNA, 72 nt
Filed under: Camelus bactrianus (Bactrian camel)
Lineage: Eukaryota; Metazoa; Chordata; Mammalia; Artiodactyla; Camelidae
Also listed under: 2 other names
Rfam family: tRNA
About the family: Transfer RNA (tRNA) molecules are approximately 80 nucleotides in length.
Source: Rfam by way of RNAcentral